AUGAGACAUGAGCAACCCACUCGCGGCCGAGCUGAGCAGGCAGUGAGAGCGACGGGGGAGAUCGCGAGCCCCGGCGGGCCGGAGGUGCUGGAGGAGAGCGAGGUGGAGGACCUCCCGGCGCCGGGGGACGGCGAGGUGCUCCUCAGGGUGGCCGCCGCCGGCGUCAACCGCCCGGGGGUCGAGUGCUCCGGCUCCAUCCUCGCCCUCGGGGCCAACGUCCACCCGCGCUGGGCCGUCGGCGACCAGGUGUGCGCGCUGCUUAACGGCGGCGGGUACGCGGAGAAGGUGGUGGUGCCGGCGGGGCAGCUUCUCCCGGUGCCGGAGGGGGUGUCGCUGACGGACGCCGCCGGCUUGCCCGAGGUGGCCUGCACCGUCUGGUCCACCGUCUUCAUGAGCAGCCACCUCUCCCCCGGCGAAUCCUUCCUUAUCCACGGUGGAUCAAGCGGAAUCGGUACAUUUGCUAUACAGAUGGCAAAGCACCUCGGAAUCAAGGUUUUUGUUACUGCAGGAAGCCAAGAGAAACUAGAUGCUUGUGCAGGUUUGGGUGCGGAUGUAUGCAUAAACUACAAAACCGAAGACUUUGCAGCAUGUAUCAAAGAAGAAACUAAUGGAAAUGGAGGUGAUGUCAUUCUGGACAACGUCGGCGGAUCAUAUCUCCAGCGCAAUCUGGACAGCUUAGCAGUUGAUGGUAGGCUUUUCAUCAUUGGUUUCAUGGGAGGCAGCGUGACUGAAGUGAACCUGCAGGCGAUGCUUGCCCGAAGAUUGACCAUACAAGUUGCUGGGCUGCGGAGCAGAAGCCUUGCCAAUAAAGCUCAGAUCGUCAGCGAGGUGGAGAGAAAUGUAUGGCCAGCCGUUGCGUCGGGCAAUGUGAAGCCGGUGGUUUACAGGACACUCCCUCUAUCUGAGGCAGCUGAAGCUCACAAGCUGAUGGAGUCAAGCUCCCACAUUGGCAAGAUACUACUGAUUCCAUGA
RNAcentral lists this ribosomal RNA (972 nucleotides) under Triticum aestivum (bread wheat). RNAcentral describes it as "partial small subunit ribosomal RNA". The record is from RNAcentral. Lineage: Eukaryota; Viridiplantae; Streptophyta; Magnoliopsida; Poales; Poaceae.